RNAcentral lists this ribosomal RNA (657 nucleotides) under uncultured bacterium. RNAcentral describes it as "bacterial SSU rRNA". It matches the Rfam family "Bacterial small subunit ribosomal RNA", at positions 8 to 653 of the family's 1533-position model. The record is from RNAcentral.
AGAGUUUGAUCCUGGCUCAGAUUGAACGCUGGCGGCAUGCCUAACACAUGCAAGUCGGACGGAAACGACAGGAGCUUGCUCCUGGGCGUCGAGUGGCGAACGGGUGAGUAACGCGUGGGAAUCUGCCCGGUAGUGGGGGAUAGCCCGGAGAAAUCCGGAUUAAUACCGCAUACGCUCUACGGAGGAAAGGUGGCCUCUACAUGUAAGCUACCGCUAUCGGAUGAGCCCGCGUUGGAUUAGCUAGUUGGUGAGGUAAAGGCUCACCAAGGCGACGAUCCAUAGCUGGUCUGAGAGGAUGAUCAGCCACAUUGGGACUGAGACACGGCCCAGACUCCUACGGGAGGCAGCAGUGGGGAAUAUUGGACAAUGGGCGCAAGCCUGAUCCAGCAAUGCCGCGUGUGUGAAGAAGGCCUGCGGGUUGUAAAGCACUUUUGUGAGGGAAGAAAGGCCUCAGGCGAAUAGCCUGGGAGUCUUGACGGUACCUCAAGAAUAAGCACCGGCUAACUCCGUGCCAGCAGCCGCGGUAAUACGGAGGGUGCGAGCGUUAAUCGGAAUUACUGGGCGUAAAGCGUGCGUAGGCGGCUUGAUAAGUCGGAUGUGAAAGCCCCGGGCUUAACCUGGGAAUUGCAUUCGAUACUGUCAGGCUAGAGUAUGUCA